AACACAUGCAAGUCGAGCGGUAACAGAAAAGAAGCUUGCUUCUUUUGCUGACGAGCGGCGGACGGGUGAGUAAUGCCUGGGAAUAUACCCUGAUGUGGGGGAUAACUAUUGGAAACGAUAGCUAAUACCGCAUAAUCUCUUCGGAGCAAAGAGGGGGACCUUCGGGCCUCUCGCGUCAGGAUUAGCCCAGGUGGGAUUAGCUAGUUGGUGGGGUAAUGGCUCACCAAGGCGACGAUCCCUAGCUGGUCUGAGAGGAUGAUCAGCCACACUGGAACUGAGACACGGUCCAGACUCCUACGGGAGGCAGCAGUGGGGAAUAUUGCACAAUGGGGGAAACCCUGAUGCAGCCAUGCCGCGUGUAUGAAGAAGGCCUUCGGGUUGUAAAGUACUUUCAGUUGUGAGGAAGGCGUUGGAGUUAAUAGCUUCAGCGCUUGACGUUAGCAACAGAAGAAGCACCGGCUAACUCCGUGCCAGCAGCCGCGGUAAUACGGAGGGUGCGAGCGUUAAUCGGAAUUACUGGGCGUAAAGCGCAUGCAGGCGGUCUGUUAAGCAAGAUGUGAAAGCCCGGGGCUCAACCUCGGAACAGCAUUUUGAACUGGCAGACUAGAGUCUUGUAGAGGGGGGGUAGAAUUUCAGGUGUAGCGGUGAAAUGCGUAGAGAUCUGAAAGGAAUACCAGUGGCGAAAGCGGCCCCCUGGACAAAGACUGACGCUCAGAUGCGAAAGCGUGGGGAGCAAACAGGAUUGGAUACCCUGGUAGUCCACGCCGUAAACGAUGUCUACUUGGAGGUUGUGGCCUUGAGCCGUGGCUUUCGGAGCUAACGCGUUAAGUAGACCGCCUGGGGGAGUACGGUCGC
RNAcentral lists this ribosomal RNA (855 nucleotides) under uncultured Photobacterium sp. Its description in RNAcentral is "bacterial SSU rRNA". It matches the Rfam family "Bacterial small subunit ribosomal RNA", at positions 50 to 889 of the family's 1533-position model. Lineage: Bacteria; Pseudomonadati; Pseudomonadota; Gammaproteobacteria; Vibrionales; Vibrionaceae. The record is from RNAcentral.